UACGGGGGGUGCGAGCGUUGUCCGGAAUCACUGGGCGUAAAGGGCGCGUAGGUGGUUUGAUAAGGGUGUGGUGAAAGCCCGGGGCUCAACCCCGGGUCUGCCGUGCCGACUGUCAAACUCGAGGGCUGUAGAGGCAGACGGAAUUCCGGGUGUAGCGGUGGAAUGCGUAGAGAUCCGGAGGAAGACCGGUGGCGAAGGCGGUUGCCUGGGGCUUUGCUGACGCUGAUGCGCGAAAGCGUGGGGAGCGAUCCGG
RNAcentral lists this ribosomal RNA (253 nucleotides) under uncultured prokaryote. RNAcentral's name for it is "partial 16S ribosomal RNA". It matches the Rfam family "Bacterial small subunit ribosomal RNA", at positions 524 to 776 of the family's 1533-position model. The record is from RNAcentral.